UACGUAGGUGGCAAGCGUUGUCCGGAAUUAUUGGGCGUAAAGCGCGCGCAGGCGGCUUUCUAAGUCCAUCUUAAAAGUGCGGGGCUUAACCCCGUGAUGGGAUGGAAACUGGGAAGCUGGAGUAUUGGAGAGGAAAGUGGAAUUCCUAGUGUAGCGGUGAAAUGCGUAGAGAUUAGGAAGAACACCGGUGGCGAAGGCGACUUUCUGGACGACAACUGACGCUGAGGCGCGAAAGCGUGGGGAGCAAACAGG
This 252-nucleotide ribosomal RNA is filed under the name Dialister succinatiphilus YIT 11850. RNAcentral's name for it is "partial 16S ribosomal RNA". It matches the Rfam family "Bacterial small subunit ribosomal RNA", at positions 524 to 776 of the family's 1533-position model. Lineage: Bacteria; Bacillati; Bacillota; Negativicutes; Veillonellales; Veillonellaceae. The record is from RNAcentral.